Molecule: long non-coding RNA, 1459 nt
Organism: Ananas comosus (pineapple)
Lineage: Eukaryota; Viridiplantae; Streptophyta; Magnoliopsida; Poales; Bromeliaceae
Exons: 5
Source: RefSeq, a predicted model, not a curated record
AAAGCGACUUGUCGACCUUUCCAAAUAACCCUUCACAUCUUUUAACUAUAUGGGUGGAUUUCUUCCUAUUUGCCUCAUGUGAUACAUGGAAAAGAACUAGUUUUCCAGUUUCGUCAUCCUAUUCUUGUUUCUUUACCUGAAUUCUGUUUGAUGUUAUAAACAGUCUGGUGCGCGUGUUCAGUUUCAUUGUUCACAAGCUACAAUAAAACUGAUGGAUUCAUGAAUGUAUUAUUUAUGAUUUUUCAUUGAAAGCCUUACAGUGUCUUCUGAAGCUUUAUUUUCAGUUAGCUCCUUUAGUUUUUCUUGUACCAGUGCCAUCUCCACUUCAAUUUCCAAAAUAGAGCAUCUAUCAUGGGCCUUCACUGCCGAAAGCGGUUGCUCUAGUAUGACUCCUCCAUUAUCUGGCAUUACAUAAGCUGAGAUACAAGAGAACAUUUAGCUCAGUCUUAAAAAUUCAUUGAUCAUGGAUCUAGUAAGAAUGAUGAAGUUUCAAAUCAGAUUAAUAUCCAGAUUCUUAACAUUAUAAGAGAACUCAAUUUUGUUAAGUAUUUGUAUCGGUAUAACAACUAUCACUACUCUUGAUAUCUUAUAUUUUCCUCUUUCUGUUGUCAAUAGACCUAAAAUUUUGCUCAUUAACUAUUUUAUCUGGUGUUUCCUGGUAGAUUAGAUUCUUCCUUUUGCUAGUACUCAUCAGAAUUCUAUUCCACUUUCUGCAGAAAAUGGUUUAUCUCUGCUUUUAGAACAUGGGUGGCCUUUGUCUACAAUGCAGGGUAUAUGUGUACAGCAAGCAAUCACUCUACAAUCCUAUUGAAAAUAAGUUGUUCACUGCACAUACAAUAUGCAGAAGAAAUUUCAGGGAUUUACAUUUCCCUCUGAUCAUAAAAGUAUCGAGGAGCAGAAAUUAGUCAUCAUAGUAUUUAUUACCUUUCAAUAAAGGCUGUGUUGGCCGCUAGAUGGACAAUGACAUUUAUUUCGUCCCAGAGGUUUUCUUUAAGUUUUCUAUCGUAUACUCCCAAAUCUUCAAUGGAAAUGUCUCCUGCAAUAGGGCAAACUUUGUCCCAGAAGAAUGAAGGGAAGUUCCCUUGGUAUUUCUCUACAAGAACUUUGAAUACUUCUUUUUGCAUUACCUACAAAUAAGAUGCAUUAAAACGCAGAUGACACACUGCAGAAAGAUUUGCAACAACAAUGAUGGUUGGAUGGCUGGUAAGGCGUCGAAGCACAGAGUACUAAUUGGCUAAGCUGCAAAUCAGACUAAUAUUUCGAGAGCUUGCAAAGUAUGACGCUAACCUCGGUUUCCACACGGUGCUUCGCAGAUAUGCUAUCAUUAGCACGCACCAACAGAUCAGCUGGAGCUGCGAAAAUUGAAGUGGAAAGCAAGACAUGCGGUGUUUGUUAUUUUUUUGCUACAUUUUGAACAAGUAUUUUUGGUUAGAACUUAUGUUUGAAAUUUAAUUUGAAU